CGAGCACGCGCGUGUGGCAUAUCAAUAAGCGGAGGAAAAGAAACUAACAAGGAUUCUCUUAGUAACGGCGAGUGAAGCGGGAAGAGCUCAAAUUUGAAAUCUUCAAGGUUCUACCUUGACGAAUUGUAGUUUAUAGAAGUGUUUUCUGUUAGUGGAGUGGCAAAAGUUCUUUGGAAUAGGACAUCAUAGAGGGUGAGAAUCCCGUAUUUGGUCAUUCCUCCUAGCGUUGUGAUACACUUUCAACGAGUCGGAUUGUUUGGGAAUGCAGUCCAAAAUGGGUGGUAAAUUUCAUCUAAAGCUAAAUAUUGGCGAGAGACCGAUAGCGAACAAGUAGCCGUGAGGGAAAGAUGAAAAGAACUUUGAAAAGAGAGUUAAACAGUACGUGAAAUUGUCAAAAGGGAAGCGUUUGACACCAGUGUUGUUUUUCCGAAAAUCAAUUACGAAUGUUUUGUUUUUAAGGAGUUAUGACUUCAUCGGCUUGCUCCUUUCUUUACUGAAACUUUCUUAAUGCACUUUUCGGUUAACAAGUCAACAUCAAUUUCUUUUGUUGUAAAAGGGUAUGAGGAAGGUGGCUUUCUUUUCGGAGAAAGUGUUUAUAGCCUUGUGCCUCUGCAAUCGGAGAGAUUGAGGUCUGCAGCGUAGAUCCUUCGGGGUUAGAUACGUUUGUGCUAAGUUAUAGCUUUUCAUAGACAACUUGUUGACUAUGUUUAGUCUUGUAGCUUACUCGCUGACGCUAUUUUACCUACGCUUAGGAUGUUGAUGUGAUACUGCGAGCA
RNAcentral lists this ribosomal RNA (776 nucleotides) under uncultured Neocallimastigales. RNAcentral's name for it is "partial large subunit ribosomal RNA". It matches the Rfam family "Eukaryotic large subunit ribosomal RNA", at positions 19 to 646 of the family's 3401-position model. Lineage: Eukaryota; Fungi; Neocallimastigomycota; Neocallimastigomycetes; Neocallimastigales. The record is from RNAcentral.